RNAcentral lists this long non-coding RNA (7511 nucleotides) under Theobroma cacao (cacao). RNAcentral describes it as "long non-coding RNA (TCAC_LNC006309)". The record is from RNAcentral. Lineage: Eukaryota; Viridiplantae; Streptophyta; Magnoliopsida; Malvales; Malvaceae.
UUUUCUUCAUUAUGGCCGGCCAAAGCAUGAAGUGAAGAAGAACAAAGAAAGAACAAAACCUAGGUGGGAAAAUUGAAGAAAAAGUGUGGGAUUUCAAGGUAUUAAGCUAAUAAAGGUAAAUUUUUGUGAUUUUAUCUUGUGGUUUACACUACCUAUGCUUUCUUUUUCAUUUUCCAUGCUUAGAACUCAAGUUUUCAUGGUGAAUUCAUGCCUGACCAAAUGGGUAUGGAGAGAGAACGAAGUUGGAUUGAUUUGAUUCUAAGUUAUGUUAGUGUUUUUAGUUAGUUUAGCAUAUUUAGAAACAAAACAACAAGAAAAAAAAUUCAUUUUCUCCCAUUACCCAUAAGAGGCCGAAUUUUCUAGGGAGGAUAUUGAGGCUGAAAUUGAUGAUAUUUCAUGAUAUUUUGGUGAUAUUUAAUGAUUGGUGAGGCUAGAAAUUUAAUAGAAAAUUUUGGCAUGAAAAUCUGAAUUUUGACCUAAUGUAUAGACAUGUGCGAUUUAUCAUUCAGACUGAUAAAUUGAAUCAAAUUGUGAGACCUUGUCAAGCUCGAUUAAAAGACAAUAUUGUACUGAGUGGUACAACUAAGUUAAAUUGAACCUUCAACUAGUUCAAAUAGGAAUUCUAAGAGGAAAUUGAAAAUUUUGAAACCCACAGAAUAGCUUAGAAUAGUGAUUCGGAGUUCAAGGUUCAGUUUCGAGUCCAUCAGGAAAAUUGAUCGAUUAGGGACAAAACGGUUAUUUUAGCAUUUGAUAAUAAAAUGGAGAUUUUUAGCCAAGAUUUUAUCACAUUUGACCAAGAAUAAUUAUAUGAAAUAUAAUUAUGAUUAUUGGAGUAUAAAAUGAUGUUUAGUAGUGAAAAAUUAUGAUUCUCGGUAUUUUUGGAGCACAAGGGUAAAAUGGUAAUUUUGUCACUAAAGGACUAAACGAUAAUUUUUAUAAAAUGAUUUUUGCCCCAUUUAGUUAAUAUUGAUCAAUAUUAGUGUUAUUUGAGGUUGAAAAGUAGAAAUAAUGUGAUUCCGGUACAUUUCGAAGUAUAGGGGCAAAAUCGUAAUUUUUUCAUCUCGGGGGCAAAUCGGUAAAUUUUUCGUCCCAACACUUGUCAAGACCAAGGGAUUUUAAUUGUGGUAGGAUUGGAUAAAUACCAGAAUAUUUGUGGUGGAAAAUUAAGAAGAAAAAGUUAAAAAGUUAAAAAAAUUGGGCCAAUAAGCAUGUGACACGUGGCAUGCUUAAUUAUUUUAUUAUUUUCUAUAGAAAUCAGCCCAUUAAAUCCCCAAUUCUCUCACCAUAAUCAGCCUAGGCAACCAGCAACAAGAGCAAAGGAAGAACAAAGGGAAAAACAANGAAGAGGGGAAAGCUCAAUCCAAGAUACAUUGGACCCUUUCGUAUCAUUGAAAUGAUUGGGCCAGUGGCUUACAGACUUGAAUUACCCCUGGAGUUAGAUCGGAUUCAUAAUGUCUUCCAUGUCUCAAUGUUGAAAAAGUAUGUUUCUGAUCCCUCUCACAUUCUAGAGACACCUCCCAUUGAGUUGCAUGAAGAUUUGAAGUUCGAGGUGCAGCCUGUACGUAUUCUAGAUCGAAAGGAUCGAGUGCUAAGGAACAAGAGUAUUCCAAUGGUGAAAGUAUUGUGGAAAAAUGCUCGAAUGGAAGAGAUGACGUGGGAAGUCGAGCGCUAGAUGAGAAAACAAUAUCCACAUCUUUUCUUAGAAUCCGGUAAGUGAAAUUUUGAGGUCAAAAUUUUAUUUUUAAGGGGGGUAGUGCUGUAAAGCCUAACCUUAUAAAAUGCUUGUCAUGACAUACAUGUGAUGAUAGCAUGAUUGUAUGCUAAGAGAGUCCCAAAAAAUUUACAAAAGUAGGUAUUGUACCUAGAGGUACAACAAAGAUGAUUUAAGCCUCGAACCAGAUCAAAUAGGAAUUUUAAGGUGAGAUUAAGAGCUUCACAAUCCAUGGAUGACUCAAAAUGGUAAUUCGGAGUUUGAGGAUCAAUUUGGAGUCAAACCAGAAUUUUCACUGCCAGAGACAAAAUGGUCAUUUGCCACCUAGGGACAAAAUGAAAAUUUUUAGAAAAGAUGUUUUUUGCCCCAUUUGACCUAUUGGAGUAUGAUUUGAGCAUAGGAGUAUGAUUUGAGGUUGAAAAGUGAAAAAAAAAAUUGUGAUUUCGGUAUUUUUUGGAGCAAAGGGUAAAAUGGUAAUUUUGCCAUUUCAGGGGCAAAAUUACCAUUUUACACACCCGACACUUGUCCAGCACAUGGAUUUUAUCCAAUUUUAUCAUGGAUAAUUGAAGGGAUUUAUAUGGUGGAGAGAGAAAGCUUAAUAGUUAAGAAAUAAAAAUGGGCCAAUGAAAUGGUGACACAUGGCAUGUUAAUAUCCAUUUACUUUUUUUAGCUUUAAAAUCAACAAAAAUAAGCAUAUUUUCUUCAUUAUGGCCGGCCAAAGCAUGAAGUGAAGAAGAACAAAGAAAGAACAAAACCUAGGUGGGAAAAUUGAAGAAAAAGUGUGGGAUUUCAAGGUAUUAAGCUAAUAAAGGUAAAUUUUUGUGAUUUUAUCUUGUGGUUUACACUACCUAUGCUUUCUUUUUCAUUUUCCAUGCUUAGAACUCAAGUUUUCAUGGUGAAUUCAUGCCUGACCAAAUGGGUAUGGAGAGAGAACGAAGUUGGAUUGAUUUGAUUCUAAGUUAUGUUAGUGUUUUUAGUUAGUUUAGCAUAUUUAGAAACAAAACAACAAGAAAAAAAAUUCAUUUUCUCCCAUUACCCAUAAGAGGCCGAAUUUUCUAGGGAGGAUAUUGAGGCUGAAAUUGAUGAUAUUUCAUGAUAUUUUGGUGAUAUUUAAUGAUUGGUGAGGCUAGAAAUUUAAUAGAAAAUUUUGGCAUGAAAAUCUGAAUUUUGACCUAAUGUAUAGACAUGUGCGAUUUAUCAUUCAGACUGAUAAAUUGAAUCAAAUUGUGAGACCUUGUCAAGCUCGAUUAAAAGACAAUAUUGUACUGAGUGGUACAACUAAGUUAAAUUGAACCUUCAACUAGUUCAAAUAGGAAUUCUAAGAGGAAAUUGAAAAUUUUGAAACCCACAGAAUAGCUUAGAAUAGUGAUUCGGAGUUCAAGGUUCAGUUUCGAGUCCAUCAGGAAAAUUGAUCGAUUAGGGACAAAACGGUUAUUUUAGCAUUUGAUAAUAAAAUGGAGAUUUUUAGCCAAGAUUUUAUCACAUUUGACCAAGAAUAAUUAUAUGAAAUAUAAUUAUGAUUAUUGGAGUAUAAAAUGAUGUUUAGUAGUGAAAAAUUAUGAUUCUCGGUAUUUUUGGAGCACAAGGGUAAAAUGGUAAUUUUGUCACUAAAGGACUAAACGAUAAUUUUUAUAAAAUGAUUUUUGCCCCAUUUAGUUAAUAUUGAUCAAUAUUAGUGUUAUUUGAGGUUGAAAAGUAGAAAUAAUGUGAUUCCGGUACAUUUCGAAGUAUAGGGGCAAAAUCGUAAUUUUUUCAUCUCGGGGGCAAAUCGGUAAAUUUUUCGUCCCAACACUUGUCAAGACCAAGGGAUUUUAAUUGUGGUAGGAUUGGAUAAAUACCAGAAUAUUUGUGGUGGAAAAUUAAGAAGAAAAAGUUAAAAAGUUAAAAAAAUUGGGCCAAUAAGCAUGUGACACGUGGCAUGCUUAAUUAUUUUAUUAUUUUCUAUAGAAAUCAGCCCAUUAAAUCCCCAAUUCUCUCACCAUAAUCAGCCUAGGCAACCAGCAACAAGAGCAAAGGAAGAACAAAGGGAAAAACAAGAAAACCUAGGUGAAAAUUCAAAGAAAAAGUGAAGAAAUCAAGGAAACAAGCUAGGUAAGUUAGAAUUUCUUUAAUUCUCCUUGAUACCUAGCUUAUCCAUGCUUUUGUUCUUGAUUUCGAUGGUUGAAUAUUGAGUUAUCAUGAUGAAUUCAAUUCUGAAAAAUGGUUAUGGAAGAGGAAUUGUUGUUGGAAUAAUUUGAUUUUAGACUAAGUUAGUGUUUAGGGAUAGUUAAGCAUGGUUAUGAACAAAAACACAAAAGAAAUAUUCAAUUUCUCUAGGGUUCCUUGUUGGUCGAACCAUGAGGGCUGAAUAUCAAUGGGGGAUUGUUUUUAUUUCAAGGAAAAUGGCUUGGAAAAUGAUGAAUUAAGGUGAAACAGUUAUGUAGAAAAAAUUUUGGUGCUAGUUCACCAAAUGACCGAAUUUUUUUAUAAGGAACUGUGAGGGUUCUAAUGCUGAAUUUGGCUUUAUUUAAAUGGUAUGUGGUAAAUGAAGGUAUUAGAGGAGAAAUGGAUUAAUUUGGAGGUGAUUUGGACACAAUCUCCAAUUAAUCGAUGAUUGGUCAAAUUUAAUCGAUACCGCGAUUAAGCGGUAAUCGAACGUAUUUUUGCAUUUACAUAUCAAGCAUUAGUAAUUUAAAUUAGUUUAUAUCAAUUUAGGGACAAUAUAGUAAAUUCCUUGACUUUGUUAUUUGUCAAGGUAGUGAGAUGUCUAAAAAAGGCAAAGGAAUUGCGCUUGAGGACUAUUAGUUUGAGUGCACCCAAAAUCCGGAUUUUCGAUAUGGGUGAUUGGACUUGCAUUUCAAACUUGUUGUGGGGAAUAUGAAAGAUUCUAUCCAACUUGUCUUAGAAAAUGUACCUUGGGAACAAGCUUUUGUUAAAUGGUUUGAUGUUGUGAUAUGUGAUUACUAUGGAUUCAUGCAUUAUUGCAAUAUGAUGAUAUAUAUAUGUGUGUGUUGUGCAUGAUAAAUGUUAUUGUGUAUAAUGACUAUAACCGUGUGUGUGGACGAUGUGGGAAGAAUUAAGUUGGUUUUACCUGAUCUUUGGGAACUCUAACAUGUGAACAGGGGUGAAGCGUGGCUCUCUGCCCAGGGGCUUAUAAAGGAAAAGGCUACCCAAAGAGGUGGAGCUGCCCUAUGAGUGCUUUGAUAGGUACUGUUUGUCGCCUCCAUAGUGAAGGGGUUGAGUGGUAUGUCCCUCCCUAGUGACAAACUUGGUAUCAGAUUCCCAUUUUAUGGUGGUGUGAAAGGUGGAUGAUGAUAGUGCCCGUGUGCACGAUGUGGGGGGAUGUACACGGUGGCACUGAUUGUGCACGAUGCAGGGGGAAGGACACGAUGUGCCGGCUAUGUGCACGAUGUGGGUGUGAUUAUGAUGAUAUUGAUGUUUGUCUAUCUAAUUAUGCAUAUCUAGACUUAUGAAAUGAAAGCUCAUAAAUGUGAUAUAUGGUUGACAUAUAUAUGAAAUUUGAUACUUUGCACUUUGGGAAUUUUCAUGAGUUUUUUGUUGAUUUUGUUGGUUUAGUAGGGUGGCCUUUUUGUUGAGUGAAGGGAAACUUUUCCCUUGUUGCUCUGUUUCGCUGCAGCGAGAAACUCUCGAGUCUGAGGGCCUUCACCAGAACUGGUUCUCGCUACAGCGAAAAACUUUCUAUCCAUUUUGCUAACUUGUGGGUUUUUGCCAUAUUUCCCAUUUCUUUGGUACCAUAGUUGAGCAUGGAUUUUUGUAAAGUGAUUUACUCAUGUGGGGUUUACAUGAGGGGUUUAAAGGAGCUAAAACAAUUGCAUGGUUUUGAGAAAAUGAAUGCAUCAUGAUUUCGAUAAACAUUCCUUAUGGUAUGCUUGUUCCCUUCUUGUUCACUCACUGAGUAUUGUACUCACGUUUUAUAAAAAAUUCAUGUUUUCAGAUCAAGUGACUGUUGGACCCUAGAUCGAGGAGUGCCCGUAGUGUAUCUCCUGGGUAUGUGUCUGGCAUUCGAUAGUAAUCCCUUUUAUUGUAAAUGUCUCCGCUGGAAGUCAUGGGUCCUUUUGUAUUGUGAAUACAAUCUAAUAAUGUGAAUAUGUGUAUUCAAUGUAAAUUGCUAAAUACAUGACUGGUAUAGUGCAUGUAUGUUAUUAUCGAUAAUGCCAUUGUGUUUUGGCUAUGUUCACACUUGGGAAAAGGUGUGUGUGUAUGCAUGAUAUGAUAAAUUUGUUAAGCAAAGGUAAAUGGAUAGGCUUGCUUGGGCUUAGUGAGCUAUGCUCAUUGAGCUCAUGCGUCGGUCAUGGCCCGAAAAAAUUGGGUCGUGACACAUAUUCAUAGUCAUUGAGGUGUUUUAAGUAUAAUUGGAGUGUAGAAAGUGAAAGAAAUCGAUUUGGAGUUAAAUUGGAGGUUUUAGCCAAUUAGACCGAGAAUAGUGCGAAUUAGGUCGAAUACCGUAUUUAAAUGGCUAUUCGGACAUUUUUGCAUUCCAUAUCAUCCAUUAGUAGUCUAAAUUAGUUUAAUUUCGAUUUAGUACCAAUGUAGUAACUUUCUUGAUUUUGUACUAUGUCUAGGUGGUGAAUCCUUCGAUAAAAGCAAGGAAAUUGUACCCGAGGAUCAGUAGUCAGAGUACUCUAGAAACUUGACUCCCGAAAUAGUGAGUAACCUUACUAUCAUUUUAAUUAUCUAAAGUAUGUUUUUAUAAGGUUUUGGUGAAUUUUAUGAAAAUGAGUUCAAAUGGUAAGUUUUUAUGUUUUGUAAACAAAAUGUGUUUAAAUGAAAAGAUUUUAUAAAUUGUCUUGAAACGAAAUAAUGCUUUUAAAAAUAGAGUAAUUGGAGACCACUGGUAUGUUGUAAAUUUAUGAUUGAAAAUUGAUGGCUUAUGUUAUAUUGUUAUUGUGUUGGCAUGACUGGCUAGGCUGUAUUUUAUGAGUUGUAUGAAUUGUUUUAUGUUACCCUUGCAGGCUGGGUAGUAUUAUAUUAGCCCUGUCAUGCUGUUAAAAUUUUAUUAUAUGGUGGGUUUAGCUUGCUGCAGUAGGCAGAUUCUGUGGACCAGCCUAUUAGAGGGGCACGGAACCCGGAUAUAUAUAUAUGUACCUUGGUCGGAGAGGCGCGUAAAGUAUCUCUUGAGGUAUCGAUAGAGUUCACGUCACGCUGAACCACCUCAUGAUGAUGAACUACGCUAACGCUAAGGAAUGGCUGUGUUUUUCAAACUAAAAAUAUGUUUACGUGUAUAUGAACUUUUUAACAGCCUUGGCGGACUUGGUUAGAUGCCUUGACCAAGGUAUCCCUGAGAAUGAUUUUGGCAAGAGCCAAACUUUUUAAGAUACUCAUAAGCCAUGUUGAAUAUUUAAAUGAAAUGAAUAUUUAUGUUAUGAAAUACAUAUUGAGAUGAAAUAUUUUAAUUGUCUCCUUUUACUCGACUUUAGAUAUUUCGGAUGAUGUUUGUUUACUCACUGUGAUUAUAAAAUCUCACCACUCUUCUUUCCACCCAUUUCAGGUUCAGAUUAGGCUGUAGAUAGCUGAGUUCAUCGAGGACUACCCUUGGAUUUGCAUUCCUUCAAACUGUAGGUUCACAGUCCUCUUUACUUUUGGUUAUUCGGGGGCCCACUGGUCAUUGUAAAUUAAAUUAAAUACUCUGGUUUACUGUAUUACAGUAUGUAUGAAUUUACUUUGCUUUUACGCUACAAAAAUUAUCUACGUAUAACUCUGAAAAUAUUGUUUAAUAAGAAAAUAGAAUAUUUUACUUAAUAUUUAUUUUAUUUUCUUAUUAUAUCCAAAUAAUCAUAAUUUCGUUUUAAACGAAUGUUUU